Molecule: non-coding RNA, 45 nt
Organism: Equus caballus (horse)
Lineage: Eukaryota; Metazoa; Chordata; Mammalia; Perissodactyla; Equidae
Source: Rfam
AAAAAGACUUUUUUAAAAGUCAUUCAUAUUUAUGUACAGGAAAAC